Molecule: ribosomal RNA, 468 nt
Filed under: uncultured bacterium
Lineage: Bacteria
Description: partial 16S ribosomal RNA
Rfam family: Bacterial small subunit ribosomal RNA
Source: RNAcentral
GACGAACGCUGGCGGCGUGCUUAACACAUGCAAGUCGAACGGAAAGGCCCUGCUUUUGUGGGGUGCUCGAGUGGCGAACGGGGGAGUAACACGUGAGUAACCUGCCCUUGACUUUGGGAUAACUUCAGGAAACUGGGGCUAAUACCGGAUAGGAGCUCCUGCUGCAUGGUGGGGGUUGGAAAGUUUCGGCGGUUGGGGAUGGACUCGCGGCUUAUCAGCUUGUUGGUGGGGUAGUGGCUUACCAAGGCUUUGACGGGUAGCCGGCCUGAGAGGGUGACCGGCGACAUUGGGACUGAGAUACGGCCCAGACUGCUACGGGGGGCAGCAGUGGGGAAUAUUGCACAAUGGGCGGAAGUCUGAUGCAGCAACGCCGCGUGCGUGAUGACGUCCUUCGGGGUGUAAACCGCUUUCGCCUGUGACGAAGCGUGAGUGACGGUAAUGGGUAAAGAAGCACCGGCUAACUACGUG